Molecule: ribosomal RNA, 443 nt
Filed under: uncultured bacterium
Lineage: Bacteria
Description: bacterial SSU rRNA
Rfam family: Bacterial small subunit ribosomal RNA
Source: RNAcentral
AGUGAACGCUGGCGGCAGGCCUAAUACAUGCAAGUCGAACGGCAGCACAGCAGAGCUUGCUCUGUGGGUGGCGAGUGGCGGACGGGUGAGGAAUACGUGGGAAUCUGCCCAGUCGUGGGGGAUAACGUAGGGAAACUUACGCUAAUACCGCAUGCGCCCUUCGGGGGAAAGCCGGGGACCUUCGGGCCUGGCGCGAUUGGAUGAGCCCACGUCGGAUUAGCUAGUUGGCGGGGUAAAGGCCCACCAAGGCGACGAUCCGUAGCUGGUCUGAGAGGAUGAUCAGCCACACUGGAACUGAGACACGGUCCAGACUCCUACGGGAGGCAGCAGUAGGGAAUAUUGGACAAUGGGCGCAAGCCUGAUCCAGCCAUGCCGCGUGAGUGAAGAAGGCCCUCGGGUUGUAAAGCUCUUUUGUCCGGAAGAAAAGCGCCGGGUUAAUACCC